Long non-coding RNA from Brienomyrus brachyistius, 381 nucleotides. RefSeq lists it as uncharacterized. The record is from RefSeq and is a predicted model, not a curated record. The transcript has 4 exons. NCBI's taxonomy places the organism in Eukaryota, Metazoa, Chordata, Actinopteri, Osteoglossiformes, Mormyridae.
CCGUUGGCGAUCUCUGAAGAGGAAACGGACCUGAAUAAUUAUUUGCAUUUAAGCAGGCAGCAUUUGGUAACUUGCAAGUGACCAAAAUGAAGAAAUACAAAUCCUAUCUGCAGGCAUCUGAAAACAACAUUCCAAGAACCACAGAUUACAGGCAAUUGAGACUUGGUAGAGAUAAAGAGAACUAUGGCAGAGUACUUUAUAAAGACUUUGUUUCUACCAGCGAGUCAGAUAUCCCAAGAACAAGUGCAUACCGGAAAAGGAAAACACAGAUUUACAAAGACCAAAAGGACACCAGAGGACACCAGGAGCAUACUGCUAAUUUACAAACAGCACCUGAUGUACGUCAACCACCUCAAAGUCCAAACUGCAAUGCAUUACAGG